AACGAACGCUGGCGGCAGGCUUAACACAUGCAAGUCGAACGAUGUAGCAAUACAUAGUGGCGCACGGGUGAGUAACGCGUGGGAACGUGCCUUUUAGUUUGGAAUAACACCGGGAAACUGGUGCUAACGCCAAAUACGCCCUUCGGGGGAAAGAUUUAUCGCUAAAAGAUCGGCCCGCGUCAGAUUAGCUAGUUGGUGGGGUAAUGGCCUACCAAGGCUCCGAUCUGUAGCUGUUCUGAGAGGAAGAUCAGCCACACUGGAACUGAGACACGGUCCAGACUCCUACGGGAGGCAGCAGUGGGGAAUAUUGGACAAUGGGGGAAACCCUGAUCCAGCCAUGCCGCGUGAGUGAUGAAGGCCUUAGGGUUGUAAAGCUCUUUUACCAGGGAAGAUGAUGACGGUACCUGGAGAAUAAGCACCGGCUAACUACGUGCCAGCAGCCGCGGUAA
Molecule: ribosomal RNA, 449 nt
Filed under: uncultured bacterium
Lineage: Bacteria
Description: partial 16S ribosomal RNA
Rfam family: Bacterial small subunit ribosomal RNA
Source: RNAcentral